Molecule: ribosomal RNA, 253 nt
Filed under: uncultured bacterium
Lineage: Bacteria
Description: partial 16S ribosomal RNA
Rfam family: Bacterial small subunit ribosomal RNA
Source: RNAcentral
UACGGGGGGGGCAAGCGUUGUUCGGAAUUACUGGGCGUAAAGGGCUCGUAGGCGGCCAACUAAGUCAGACGUGAAAUCCCUCGGCUUAACCGGGGAACUGCAUCUGAUACUGGAUGGCUUGAGUUCGGGAGAGGGAUGUGGAAUUCCAGGUGUAGCGGUGAAAUGCGUAGAUAUCUGGAGGAACACCGGUGGCGAAGGCGGCAUCCUGGACCGACACUGACGCUAAGGAGCGAAAGCCAGGGGAGCAAACGGG